This 467-nucleotide ribosomal RNA is filed under the name uncultured bacterium. RNAcentral's name for it is "partial 16S ribosomal RNA". It matches the Rfam family "Bacterial small subunit ribosomal RNA", at positions 28 to 507 of the family's 1533-position model. The record is from RNAcentral.
GAUGAACGCUGGCGGCGUGCUUAACACAUGCAAGUCGAACGGUGAAGCAGAGCUUGCUCUGUGGAUCAGUGGCGAACGGGUGGGUAACACGUGAGCAACCUGCCCCUGACUCUGGGAUAAGCGCUGGAAACGGCGUCUAAUACUGGAUAUGAGCUGCGACCGCAUGGUCAGCAGUUGGAAAGAUUUUUCGGUCUGGGAUGGGCUCACGGCCUAUCAGCUUGUUGGUGAGGUAAUGGCUCACCAAGGCGUCGACGGGUAGCCGGCCUGAGAGGGUGACCGGCCACACUGGGACUGAGACACGGCCCAGACUCCUACGGGAGGCAGCAGUGGGGAAUAUUGCACAAUGGGCGAAAGCCUGAUGCAGCAACGCCGCGUGGGGGAUGACGGUCUUCGGGUUGUAAACCUCUUUUAGCAGGGAAGAAGCCAAAGUGACGGUACCUGCAGAAAAAGCGCCGGCUAACUACGUG